RNAcentral lists this ribosomal RNA (1539 nucleotides) under Klebsiella pneumoniae. RNAcentral's name for it is "bacterial SSU rRNA". It matches the Rfam family "Bacterial small subunit ribosomal RNA". Lineage: Bacteria; Pseudomonadati; Pseudomonadota; Gammaproteobacteria; Enterobacterales; Enterobacteriaceae. The record is from RNAcentral.
AAAUUGAAGAGUUUGAUCAUGGCUCAGAUUGAACGCUGGCGGCAGGCCUAACACAUGCAAGUCGAGCGGUAGCACAGAGAGCUUGCUCUCGGGUGACGAGCGGCGGACGGGUGAGUAAUGUCUGGGAAACUGCCUGAUGGAGGGGGAUAACUACUGGAAACGGUAGCUAAUACCGCAUAAUGUCGCAAGACCAAAGUGGGGGACCUUCGGGCCUCAUGCCAUCAGAUGUGCCCAGAUGGGAUUAGCUAGUAGGUGGGGUAACGGCUCACCUAGGCGACGAUCCCUAGCUGGUCUGAGAGGAUGACCAGCCACACUGGAACUGAGACACGGUCCAGACUCCUACGGGAGGCAGCAGUGGGGAAUAUUGCACAAUGGGCGCAAGCCUGAUGCAGCCAUGCCGCGUGUGUGAAGAAGGCCUUCGGGUUGUAAAGCACUUUCAGCGGGGAGGAAGGCGGUGAGGUUAAUAACCUCACCGAUUGACGUUACCCGCAGAAGAAGCACCGGCUAACUCCGUGCCAGCAGCCGCGGUAAUACGGAGGGUGCAAGCGUUAAUCGGAAUUACUGGGCGUAAAGCGCACGCAGGCGGUCUGUCAAGUCGGAUGUGAAAUCCCCGGGCUCAACCUGGGAACUGCAUUCGAAACUGGCAGGCUAGAGUCUUGUAGAGGGGGUAGAAUUCCAGGUGUAGCGGUGAAAUGCGUAGAGAUCUGGAGGAAUACCGGUGGCGAAGGCGGCCCCCUGGACAAAGACUGACGCUCAGGUGCGAAAGCGUGGGGAGCAAACAGGAUUAGAUACCCUGGUAGUCCACGCCGUAAACGAUGUCGAUUUGGAGGUUGUGCCCUUGAGGCGUGGCUUCCGGAGCUAACGCGUUAAAUCGACCGCCUGGGGAGUACGGCCGCAAGGUUAAAACUCAAAUGAAUUGACGGGGGCCCGCACAAGCGGUGGAGCAUGUGGUUUAAUUCGAUGCAACGCGAAGAACCUUACCUGGUCUUGACAUCCACAGAACUUUCCAGAGAUGGAUUGGUGCCUUCGGGAACUGUGAGACAGGUGCUGCAUGGCUGUCGUCAGCUCGUGUUGUGAAAUGUUGGGUUAAGUCCCGCAACGAGCGCAACCCUUAUCCUUUGUUGCCAGCGGUUCGGCCGGGAACUCAAAGGAGACUGCCAGUGAUAAACUGGAGGAAGGUGGGGAUGACGUCAAGUCAUCAUGGCCCUUACGACCAGGGCUACACACGUGCUACAAUGGCAUAUACAAAGAGAAGCGACCUCGCGAGAGCAAGCGGACCUCAUAAAGUAUGUCGUAGUCCGGAUUGGAGUCUGCAACUCGACUCCAUGAAGUCGGAAUCGCUAGUAAUCGUAGAUCAGAAUGCUACGGUGAAUACGUUCCCGGGCCUUGUACACACCGCCCGUCACACCAUGGGAGUGGGUUGCAAAAGAAGUAGGUAGCUUAACCUUCGGGAGGGCGCUUACCACUUUGUGAUUCAUGACUGGGGUGAAGUCGUAACAAGGUAACCGUAGGGGAACCUGCGGUUGGAUCACCUCCUUA